AUGGGAAUAACCAUCGCGCUUAAUCUCAUCAUGCUCUCAGAGAGAGAAGAACAGAGCUAUCGAACAAACAAACAAAAAAGCCCAGAUGAAGUGAAAAGGAGGCAAGGGAUGGCGGAGGAUAAUAAGAGGAAAGAGGUAAUUUUUCCAACAUUGGACACAGUUGGAGGCAGGAGUCUUACAAAAGAGGUAUUCCUUCUUGGGAAGAAGAGAGGUCCAGGCCCAUCAAUCCAUCCAAUAGUUGGAGCUCUCAUCCUCAAAAAUAGGGGUUUCUGGAAACCAGAUUCCUACUUUUGGCAAGCUUUAUUUCAAACAACAUCAGGAUGUGAGGCUUCCAUCUCAUCCCAGACACUGCUUACUUGCCGUGGCCGAUGGGCCUAUUCAACUGCAAACCUCCAACAUCUGUCCUGUACUUUGGCCAGCAAGAUAUGAGCAAGCUGUUGCUGACAAUACUAUAAUAAGAGGCAAUACCCUGUAAAUGAAACAAAGGAGUACAGACCUGACUAUUUUCAGUUUUGAAUCAAUUAAAAGGAAGCUUUAAUUAGACUGUAUGUAAGUAAUCUACAUUUAAAAA
RNAcentral lists this long non-coding RNA (571 nucleotides) under Anas platyrhynchos platyrhynchos (common mallard). RNAcentral's name for it is "lncRNA (ENSAPLG00000018719.1)". Lineage: Eukaryota; Metazoa; Chordata; Aves; Anseriformes; Anatidae. The record is from RNAcentral.